AGGAGUUCCCUUGUCUUCUGGAUCUGGUUCAAAAUUACAAGGCAACGAAGUUGAACAUUAGCAGUUGUAAACUCAAAAAAUUUGAUUAGCUGUUCAAGGACAGUAAUAAAAUAUGAGGGUUGUCCAUAAAAUAAAGUUCCCAACAAAUUUUCCCAAUGAAAAACAUGUUUAUUGGCAUCGAAUAAUGCAUGUUUGGAAAGCUUAGACUUCCCUUUAUUUUUCGAUCUAAUCGCCGUUUAGAUCAAAGAUCAAUGCAUUUUUGCAUGCGCUGUACCAUCUUCUUUAUGCCUGAGUCGUAGAACUCUGCCGCCGCACAGCGAAGAUACUUUAAAACCUCUUCUUUCAGCUCUUCGUCGGUAGUGAAAUACGUCCCUCCCAAGUGUUUCUUUAAUUCAGGGAAGAGAGAGUAAUCUGGGGGGGGGGCAAGUCUGGGCUGUAAGAGGUGUGUGUGACAAUAUUCCAUCCAAAUCUGUUGAUGAGAUCAGUUGUGACACGGGCGGUGUGCGGACGAACGUUGUCCUGAUAGAGACGCACUCCAUUUGUGAGCAUACCUCUCCUCUUGUUUUGGAUUACGCUCCGAGGUUCUUUAACGUCUGUCAGUAGCGAUCCACUUUAAUUGUAGUGCCAGUAGGCAGGAAUUUGCUCAAUAACCCUUUCUUGUCUCAAAAGACACUCGCCGUCACUUUGCCGGCAGACAGAAUUUGUUUUAAUUUCUUCGGCGAGCCUGGAUGUUUCCACUGAUGGGAUUGUUCUUUUGUUUCCUGUGUCAUGUAGUCAACCCAGGUCUCGUCCCCAGUGACGACAGAGUCCAAAAAUUCCCGCCAUUGUUUUUGUAGGCAUGAAGAAAUUCGUGGGCUGCUUCAACACGUUGCUGUUUGUUGUCAUCCGUCAGCAUUUUCAGGACCCACCUUACACAAACCUUGUCAUAUCCUAAGUGGUCUCUCAAAAUGUUGUGAAUGCAGGACUUACUGACAUCAGGGAUCAUCUCGCUCGGAACCGUCACCCUUCGAUCAAUCAGCAUUGCUUCUUCCACCUUUGCAAUCGCUUUGUCCGAAAACGAUGGUCGGCCAGAACGUUGUUGAACUGUACAUCCAUCAAGGAUUUUAAUUUUUUUUAAAAAAAAGUAAAAUUCAAAUGUUUAAUUUUUAAAAAAAAUAAAUAUACAUUUUUAUUUCACUUUUUUCACUCGAUGUUUUUGCCAAAUUUCAAGUCUCUAUUUCUUUGGAAUUAUAAUGAGAAAAAAAAUUGUAAUUUGACAUUGACAUAAACCAUAUAGUAAAGGCCACAUAUUAUGCUAUUAAAAAUAUAGUACAGAUAAAAAGGGUAUCAAGGAUGCUGAAUUUUAUAGAAUGGAGGAUAAACGAGUAGCCGACUACUUUGUAGUUGCAGGUUUUCUGGACAAUGCUUUACCUCUCAAAGAGUUCUCUCGUGGUGGAAACAGUCCCAAAUCUACACAAUCUUUGCUGCCCAUCACUGAUGUGGCCGU
Non-coding RNA from Parasteatoda tepidariorum (common house spider), 1486 nucleotides. The record is from RefSeq and is a predicted model, not a curated record. Lineage: Eukaryota; Metazoa; Arthropoda; Arachnida; Araneae; Theridiidae.